GAAGGCAUAGUUCAGUGGUAGAGUGCAUGCCUAGCAUGCAUGAGGUCCUGGAUUCAACUCCCAGCACCUCCA
This 72-nucleotide transfer RNA is filed under the name Camelus bactrianus (Bactrian camel). It matches the Rfam family "tRNA". From Rfam's summary of the family: Transfer RNA (tRNA) molecules are approximately 80 nucleotides in length. Lineage: Eukaryota; Metazoa; Chordata; Mammalia; Artiodactyla; Camelidae. RNAcentral also lists the same sequence under 2 other names. The record is from Rfam by way of RNAcentral.